This 432-nucleotide ribosomal RNA is filed under the name uncultured bacterium. Its description in RNAcentral is "partial 16S ribosomal RNA". It matches the Rfam family "Bacterial small subunit ribosomal RNA", at positions 29 to 506 of the family's 1533-position model. The record is from RNAcentral.
AACGAACGCUGGCGGCAUGCCUAACACAUGCAAGUCGAACGAGACCUUCGGGUCUAGUGGCGCACGGGUGCGUAACGCGUGGGAACCUGCCCUUAGGUUCGGAAUAACUCCCCGAAAGGGGUGCUAAUACCGGAUAAUGUCUUCGGACCGAAGAUUUAUCGCCUUUGGAUGGGCCCGCGUUGGAUUAGCUAGUUGGUAGGGUAAAAGCCUACCAAGGCGACGAUCCAUAGCUGGUCUGAGAGGAUGAUCAGCCACACUGGGACUGAGACACGGCCCAGACUCCUACGGGAGGCAGCAGUGGGGAAUAUUGGACAAUGGGCGAAAGCCUGAUCCAGCAAUGCCGCGUGAGUGAUGAAGGCCUUAGGGUUGUAAAGCUCUUUUACCCGGGAUGAUAAUGACAGUACCGGGAGAAUAAGCUCCGGCUAACUCCGU